RNAcentral lists this unclassified non-coding RNA (5531 nucleotides) under Leguminivora glycinivorella. RNAcentral describes it as "cOP9 signalosome complex subunit 4, transcript variant X2". The record is from RNAcentral. Lineage: Eukaryota; Metazoa; Arthropoda; Insecta; Lepidoptera; Tortricidae.
UGACAGACAUAUUUGACGGAAAUAAAAAGGGAAAAGUCAAAACGAAACGCACUGCAAUGCAAUAUUUUAUUUUUAUUGAAGUAGAAGAACCAUAGAAUGUCUGCAUCUUGAAAGAUAUUGACCCACUCAUUUAAUUAUAAAAGAACGGUGUUACUGUAGAUUGUGGAAUAAUUACGCUUUUCCAACAUGCCGCUGAACUUACAAUCAGUCCGGCAGUAUUUGAAUGAACUGAGGAAUUCUGGUGGUUUACACAAAGAUCAAGCUGAAAAGUACCGCAAUGUUCUCAUGGAAAUACUAAAAAAUCCUGAGGGAGAUUUAGCAGACUCACUCAAAGCGUUUGUAGAAGCAAUUGUGAAUGAGAAUGUGAGCCUAGUGAUCUCCCGGCAACUGCUCACAGAUGUCAGCACACAUUUAGCAUUGUUGCCAGAUCCGGUAUCACAGGAUGUCUCACACUAUGCCUUAGAUGUCAUACAACCAAGAGUCAUCUCAUUUGAAGAACAGGUAGCAAGCAUCAGACAACACUUGGCGGAUAUUUACGAACGCAACCAAAACUGGAAGGAAGCUGCAAAUGUAUUAGUCGGAAUUCCUUUAGAAACUGGACAAAAGCAGUACUCUGUUGAUUACAAACUAGAGACAUACCUAAAAAUCGCGCGCCUUUACCUGGAGGUCGAUGACCCCGUGCAGGCGGAGGCCUACGUCAACAGGGCUUCGCUGUUACAGGCCGAGACCACUAAUGAACAGCUGCAGAUUUAUUACAAAGUGUGCUACGCCCGAGUUUUAGAUUAUAGGAGAAAGUUCAUAGAAGCAGCUCAGAGAUACAAUGAGCUCUCGUACCGCAACAUCAUUCACGAAGACGAGCGCAUGACGUGCCUACGCAACGCUCUCAUCUGCACAGUGCUGGCCUCCGCAGGUCAGCAAAGAUCCAGAAUGUUGGCCACUCUGUUCAAAGACGAGCGGUGCCAGCAACUACCCGCGUAUUCAAUCCUGGAGAAGAUGUACCUGGAUCGCAUCAUUCGCCGUUCUGAGCUACACGAGUUUGAGGCUCUCAUGCAGACGCAUCAGAAGGCGACAACACCAGACGGCUCGUCCAUCCUGGACCGCGCCGUGUUCGAGCACAACCUGCUGUCGGCGAGCAAGCUGUACAACAACAUCACGUUCGAGGAGCUCGGCGCGCUGCUCGAGACGCCGCCCGCGCGCGCCGAGCGCAUCGCCGCGCACAUGAUCUCCGAGCAGCGCAUGCACGGACACAUCGACCAGAUCAGCGCCAGGGUGCACUUUGAGAGUGAGUAUACUGCUCUAGCCUCUCCUGUACAACAUCGCCGCGCACAUGAUCUCCGAGCAGCGCAUGCACGGACACAUCGACCAGAUCAGCGCCAGGGUGCACUUUGAGAGUGAGUAUACUGCUCUAGCCUCUCCUGUACAACAUCGCCGCGCACAUGAUCUCCGAGCAGCGCAUGCACGGACACAUCGACCAGAUCAGCGCCAGGGUGCACUUUGAGAGUGAGUAUACUGCUCUAGCCUCUCCUGUACAACAUCGCCGCGCACAUGAUCUCCGAGCAGCGCAUGCACGGCCACAUCGACCAGAUCAGCGCCAGGGUGCACUUUGAGAGUGAGUAUACUGCUCUAGCCUCUCCUGUACAACAUCGCCGCGCACAUGAUCUCCGAGCAGCGCAUGCACGGCCACAUCGACCAGAUCAGCGCCAGGGUGCACUUUGAGAGUGAGUAUACUGCUCUAGCCUCUCCUGUACAACAUCGCCGCGCACAUGAUCUCCGAGCAGCGCAUGCACGGACACAUCGACCAGAUCAGCGCCAGGGUGCACUUUGAGAGUGAGUAUACUGCUCUAGCCUCUCCUGUACAACAUCGCCGCGCACAUGAUCUCCGAGCAGCGCAUGCACGGACACAUCGACCAGAUCAGCGCCAGGGUGCACUUUGAGAGUGAGUAUACUGCUCUAGCCUCUCCUGUACAACAUCGCCGCGCACAUGAUCUCCGAGCAGCGCAUGCACGGACACAUCGACCAGAUCAGCGCCAGGGUGCACUUUGAGAGUGAGUAUACUGCUCUAGCCUCUCCUGUACAACAUCGCCGCGCACAUGAUCUCCGAGCAGCGCAUGCACGGACACAUCGACCAGAUCAGCGCCAGGGUGCACUUUGAGAGUGAGUAUACUGCUCUAGCCUCUCCUGUACAACAUCGCCGCGCACAUGAUCUCCGAGCAGCGCAUGCACGGACACAUCGACCAGAUCAGCGCCAGGGUGCACUUUGAGAGUGAGUAUACUGCUCUAGCCUCUCCUGUACAACAUCGCCGCGCACAUGAUCUCCGAGCAGCGCAUGCACGGACACAUCGACCAGAUCAGCGCCAGGGUGCACUUUGAGAGUGAGUAUACUGCUCUAGCCUCUCCUGUACAACAUCGCCGCGCACAUGAUCUCCGAGCAGCGCAUGCACGGCCACAUCGACCAGAUCAGCGCCAGGGUGCACUUUGAGAGUGAGUAUACUGCUCUAGCCUCUCCUGUACAACAUCGCCGCGCACAUGAUCUCCGAGCAGCGCAUGCACGGACACAUCGACCAGAUCAGCGCCAGGGUGCACUUUGAGAGUGAGUAUACUGCUCUAGCCUCUCCUGUACAACAUCGCCGCGCACAUGAUCUCCGAGCAGCGCAUGCACGGACACAUCGACCAGAUCAGCGCCAGGGUGCACUUUGAGAGUGAGUAUACUGCUCUAGCCUCUCCUGUACAACAUCGCCGCGCACAUGAUCUCCGAGCAGCGCAUGCACGGACACAUCGACCAGAUCAGCGCCAGGGUGCACUUUGAGAGUGAGUAUACUGCUCUAGCCUCUCCUGUACAACAUCGCCGCGCACAUGAUCUCCGAGCAGCGCAUGCACGGACACAUCGACCAGAUCAGCGCCAGGGUGCACUUUGAGAGUGAGUAUACUGCUCUAGCCUCUCCUGUACAACAUCGCCGCGCACAUGAUCUCCGAGCAGCGCAUGCACGGACACAUCGACCAGAUCAGCGCCAGGGUGCACUUUGAGAGUGAGUAUACUGCUCUAGCCUCUCCUGUACAACAUCGCCGCGCACAUGAUCUCCGAGCAGCGCAUGCACGGACACAUCGACCAGAUCAGCGCCAGGGUGCACUUUGAGAGUGAGUAUACUGCUCUAGCCUCUCCUGUACAACAUCGCCGCGCACAUGAUCUCCGAGCAGCGCAUGCACGGACACAUCGACCAGAUCAGCGCCAGGGUGCACUUUGAGAGUGAGUAUACUGCUCUAGCCUCUCCUGUACAACAUCGCCGCGCACAUGAUCUCCGAGCAGCGCAUGCACGGACACAUCGACCAGAUCAGCGCCAGGGUGCACUUUGAGAGUGAGUAUACUGCUCUAGCCUCUCCUGUACAACAUCGCCGCGCACAUGAUCUCCGAGCAGCGCAUGCACGGACACAUCGACCAGAUCAGCGCCAGGGUGCACUUUGAGAGUGAGUAUACUGCUCUAGCCUCUCCUGUACAACAUCGCCGCGCACAUGAUCUCCGAGCAGCGCAUGCACGGACACAUCGACCAGAUCAGCGCCAGGGUGCUUUGAGAGUGAGUAUACUGCUCUAGCCUCUCCUGUACAACAUCGCCGCGCACAUGAUCUCCGAGCAGCGCAUGCACGGACACAUCGACCAGAUCAGCGCCAGGGUGCACUUUGAGAGUGAGUAUACUGCUCUAGCCUCUCCUGUACAACAUCGCCGCGCACAUGAUCUCCGAGCAGCGCAUGCACGGACACAUCGACCAGAUCAGCGCCAGGGUGCACUUUGAGAGUGAGUAUACUGCUCUAGCCUCUCCUGUACAACAUCGCCGCGCACAUGAUCUCCGAGCAGCGCAUGCACGGACACAUCGACCAGAUCAGCGCCAGGGUGCACUUUGAGAGUGAGUAUACUGCUCUAGCCUCUCCUGUACAACAUCGCCGCGCACAUGAUCUCCGAGCAGCGCAUGCACGGACACAUCGACCAGAUCAGCGCCAGGGUGCACUUUGAGAGUGAGUAUACUGCUCUAGCCUCUCCUGUACAACAUCGCCGCGCACAUGAUCUCCGAGCAGCGCAUGCACGGACACAUCGACCAGAUCAGCGCCAGGGUGCACUUUGAGAGUGAGUAUACUGCUCUAGCCUCUCCUGUACAACAUCGCCGCGCACAUGAUCUCCGAGCAGCGCAUGCACGGACACAUCGACCAGAUCAGCGCCAGGGUGCACUUUGAGAGUGAGUAUACUGCUCUAGCCUCUCCUGUACAACAUCGCCGCGCACAUGAUCUCCGAGCAGCGCAUGCACGGACACAUCGACCAGAUCAGCGCCAGGGUGCACUUUGAGAGUGAGUAUACUGCUCUAGCCUCUCCUGUACAACAUCGCCGCGCACAUGAUCUCCGAGCAGCGCAUGCACGGACACAUCGACCAGAUCAGCGCCAGGGUGCACUUUGAGAGUGAGUAUACUGCUCUAGCCUCUCCUGUACAACAUCGCCGCGCACAUGAUCUCCGAGCAGCGCAUGCACGGACACAUCGACCAGAUCAGCGCCAGGGUGCACUUUGAGAGUGAGUAUACUGCUCUAGCCUCUCCUGUACAACAUCGCCGCGCACAUGAUCUCCGAGCAGCGCAUGCACGGACACAUCGACCAGAUCAGCGCCAGGGUGCACUUUGAGAGUGAGUAUACUGCUCUAGCCUCUCCUGUACAACAUCGCCGCGCACAUGAUCUCCGAGCAGCGCAUGCACGGACACAUCGACCAGAUCAGCGCCAGGGUGCACUUUGAGAGUGAGUAUACUGCUCUAGCCUCUCCUGUACAACAUCGCCGCGCACAUGAUCUCCGAGCAGCGCAUGCACGGACACAUCGACCAGAUCAGCGCCAGGGUGCACUUUGAGAGUGAGUAUACUGCUCUAGCCUCUCCUGUACAACAUCGCCGCGCACAUGAUCUCCGAGCAGCGCAUGCACGGACACAUCGACCAGAUCAGCGCCAGGGUGCACUUUGAGAGUGAGUAUACUGCUCUAGCCUCUCCUGUACAACAUCGCCGCGCACAUGAUCUCCGAGCAGCGCAUGCACGGACACAUCGACCAGAUCAGCGCCAGGGUGCACUUUGAGAGUGAGUAUACUGCUCUAGCCUCUCCUGUACAACAUCGCCGCGCACAUGAUCUCCGAGCAGCGCAUGCACGGACACAUCGACCAGAUCAGCGCCAGGGUGCACUUUGAGAGUGAGUAUACUGCUCUAGCCUCUCCUGUACAACAUCGCCGCGCACAUGAUCUCCGAGCAGCGCAUGCACGGACACAUCGACCAGAUCAGCGCCAGGGUGCACUUUGAGACGCGCGAGAUCCUCCCACAGUGGGACAAGCAGAUCCAGAGCCUCUGCUACCAGGUGAACAGCCUGAUCGAGAAGAUCGGCGCCGCCGAGCCAGAGUGGAUGGCCAAGAUUGUCGAGGAGGAGAUGAUACAGUGAUCGGGAGGUUGAUGUGAGGAAGGUUGUGUAGCCAUAGUAACCAGUGGUGUAACAAGCUAAUAUACUUUAAAUAUAAAAUACACU